This is a non-coding RNA of Petromyzon marinus (sea lamprey), 435 nucleotides long. Lineage: Eukaryota; Metazoa; Chordata; Hyperoartia; Petromyzontiformes; Petromyzontidae. The record is from RefSeq and is a predicted model, not a curated record.
AGGCAUGAGAAUGGAAAAAAACACCAGGGUUAGUUUUUCAAAGAACAGAGUUGAAAUUUAUUUCUAUGGGAAUUGGAGAUUCAUUCCUGGAAUUAACUUUAAAAGUCAUAUAAGACUUUAUCUGGUAGAUGGACUGCCACUCACUUCAAAAGACCGAGAGACAAAGCUUACAGUGUCAGUCAAACAGUACAUGUCAGGUAUUGAGCAGAUGAGUUGCCCUGGGAUCAAUAAUGGAUCUCAGAUAUUGGAUCAAACUGAUGCCAAUUACACAGUGCCAACGAACGGAAUUGUUUUCAUCGAUGUGCCAACUUCCAAAGAAGCAAAUUUCCUGACUGUGGAGGCACGAUUUGGUGAAGUUGUUGUUUGUAAUUCGAUAUCAGCAUGGAUGAGUUUUCAAAAUGGAUCAUUUUUGCACGUGACAGCCAGUGAAACCAA